This is a long non-coding RNA of Triticum dicoccoides, 2142 nucleotides long. RefSeq lists it as uncharacterized. The transcript is spliced from 4 exons. NCBI's taxonomy places the organism in Eukaryota, Viridiplantae, Streptophyta, Magnoliopsida, Poales, Poaceae. The record is from RefSeq and is a predicted model, not a curated record.
GCGGUGCUCAGCGCCGCGAGGGAGCGAGCGAGCUCUGGUCUGCCGCCGGUUCCUGCGCCACCGUGCAGGUCCAAAACAAAACCUGGACCGCACCCACCUCUCCCGUUUUGUCUCUCUCUCAACCCCACAAAUUUGUUCCCUUCCGUGCCUGAUCCAGAUCGGGCGAUGAGCCGCUCCUGUCCCAGGCUCCUCCCCGCCGGCGGCCAUGCGCGUAUCUCACCAGCCUCCUUGCCCACCCACGGUCGUGCAUCCCUCCCUGAAGCCUCCUUCCCCGCUAGCCGCUGCACGCCACCCCAGUAUCUUUCCCCAUCGGCGGCCUCGAGCACCUCCCCCAUCGAUGACCUCACGCCCGUCCCCAUUCUCCUUCCUUACGUGUGGCACCGCUCCACCUCCCGUCGGCCAUCUAGCAGGCUCCUAUUUCGUGCGUGGUGGCCGCGCCCCUCUCCCCAGCUACAUGCGAGGAGUAGCCCCUAGCAACUCGUGGUGCCGAGCACGAGCACCGUGGACCUCCCCUGCACCUUCACCCGGGGUGGCAAGCUUGAAGGCAGCCAGCGCUACUUUGAUGCUAUGGUCAAGGGUGUGCGCGUGAGCUUGUGUUUGAUGUUUCAGCCGUUGUCUCUUUGCAAAACUGGUGGUGCAUGCGCUACUCAUAGUGGUGAUUAUGAGAUUGGGGCAGUUAGCUCGUCCCUCGUGUAGUAAGAGCAAAACAUAGUGCGUUUCUGCAGUUAUCUGUACUCAAACAUAAUGAUUAACUUUUUGAGAUGUAACAGUUCUUUUGCACUUAUUUAUUUAAAAAAUACACAUAAAUUAUGUCAGUUAACUCUGCAAUUUGCAGCAGUUAUCUAAAGCCGAUGAGAACCCUGAUUCGAUGGUGAUCGAUCACCUCCUUGAAGAUUGAGUGAGGUUAAGCUAGCUAGCCCGACUCAAUUAACUUGGAUCGAUCCAGCCUAACAGCUAGUGCAUUCAUGUUGGUUCUAGUACAUACCACCACUCCCUGGAAGAUGGAUGAAUGGAUGGAUGGCCAAAGCUAGCCUGUGUUUCAUGGGAGCAUACUAUGAUGGAAUUUUUGUGAAGCAUCAGUACUAGCUCAUGGAUGUCUCCUCCUGUUUUCUCUUUUGUUAUAGGGACAUUUACAUCUCUGCCCCUAACUCGAACCCAUUACUCAGUUUUGCCCCUAGUUUUCGGGUAUGCUCAGUUUUGCCCCUCUGCCGUCAAUGCCACUUAUAGAAAUGCCCCUCCGCUCCGUUUCCGUCCAGUCAAGGCUGUUUGACCGCUAACUUGCCGUCAGUUUGACAUAUUUGCCCUUCUUUCUUACAUGUGGCCCCUCUCUUACCUCUUCGCUUCACUCUCUCUCUGUUCUCUUUCUCUCGCUCGACCCUAACCCUAGCUCUGUCUUCCCCAAAUCUCCCCCUCACCUGAACCCUAGCGGCUUCGAUCCCCACCAUGGAAAACUCCAGAUCAAUGGCGGGCACGGUGGAGAUUCGGUCGACCUGACUCUUUAUGCGAGCUGUGCUGCGAUUCGGAGCCAACCGCUGCGGAUGGAGGUCGAUGGUGGUUGCGGCGCCGGCGGCGGCCAUGAAGGGCGCACAAAUCCGAAGGGGGUGGACUAUAUAUGUUUGGAUUGUAGAAUGAAAACAACUCUUCUAGUUCCUGCUGGUACAAAAGCAGGGAACACAGGACUAUAUAUGCUUGACAAAAUUAGGCAGUUCAUAAUGGAAAAGUUUGACUUGAGACAGCAGAUUGCAGCUGGGACAUACAAUGGGCACAUCAUAAUCUGCCACUUCUGGAGGGCAAGCAACAAUGGGAUGUUGUAGACCCAGGAUUUAAACUGAGUGCUCCAUUGCAAAAUAGGCCACCUGGUAGACCUAGGAAGACAAGAAUUAGGGCUAAAUCAGAGGGAAAAGGACUUGGAGGAAGAAAGAAUAAGUGUUCAAGAUGUGGGAAGCUUGGGCACAAAGGCAGCCACUGCAAAGAGUCCAUUGACCCUGCAUUUGGAGAGGAAGAACAUUGGGGUGCUGAUAAUGCCAAUGAUGAACCUCUGGCUACUAUGGCAGAUGCUGCUACUGAUGAUGUAAAUGCAGAUGCUGCUACUGAUGAUGCUACUAAUGAAACUAUGGCAGAUGCUGCUACUGAUGAUGCAAA